Molecule: ribosomal RNA, 464 nt
Filed under: uncultured Rhodocyclaceae bacterium
Lineage: Bacteria; Pseudomonadati; Pseudomonadota; Betaproteobacteria; Rhodocyclales; Rhodocyclaceae
Description: partial 16S ribosomal RNA
Rfam family: Bacterial small subunit ribosomal RNA
Source: RNAcentral
CCUACGGGAGGCAGCAGUGGGGAAUUUUGGACAAUGGGGGAAACCCUGAUCCAGCCAUUCCGCGUGAGUGAAGAAGGCCUUCGGGUUGUAAAGCUCUUUCGGCAGGGACGAAACGGCGGACUCUAACAUAGUCUGUCAAUGACGGUACCUGAAGAAGAAGCACCGGCUAACUACGUGCCAGCAGCCGCGGUAAUACGUAGGGUGCGAGCGUUAAUCGGAAUUACUGGGCGUAUAGCGUGCGCAGGCGGCUUUGUAAGACGGGGGUGAAAUCCGUGGGCUUAACCGGGGAACUGCGUUGGUGACUGCAAGGCUAGAGUGCGGCAGAGGGGGGUGGAAUUCCUGGUGUAGCAGUGAAAUGCGUAGAGAUCAGGAGGAACACCGAUGGCGAAGGCGGCCCCCUGGGUUGGCACUGACGCUGAGGCACGAAAGCGUGGGGAGCAAACAGGAUUAGAUACCCCGGUAGU